GAGCUGAGGUCACUCAUCCCAAUAAAGACAUCCAUGUGAGUGCAGGGGGGCCCUGCCCUCCAGGUCACUUCUGUCCAGUGGGCAUGGGGGUGCCCCUGCCAUGCCCUGUGGGCACCUUCUCAGAUCGGAUAUUUCUCUCCACGGCCUCUGAGUGCCUGUCCUGUCCCCCCGGCUAUUUCUGCGGUGCCUCUGGCCUGGCUGCGCCCUCCGGCCCCUGCUCCCCCGGCUACUUCUGUCUGGCAGGAGCCUCCUCCCCAACCCCGACAGGCCACUCAGGGCAGGGAGGCCCCUGUCCCCGAGGCCACUUUUGCCCCAGGGGAACCAGCCUCCCACAGCCCUGCCCUGCCGGCUCCUACAGCUACCUGACUGGCCAGGCCUCCUGCUUCCCUUGCCCCGCUGGCUACUACUGCCCCGAGAACAUCACCAACUACAGCGGGCACCCCUGUCCCGCUGGCUUCUACUGCCCCAGAGGCACCAAGUACGCCACCCAGUUCCCCUGCCCUCGGGGCUACUACAACCCAGACCCGCUGACCCAGAGCCUGGACAGCUGCCUGCCCUGUCACUACUGUGGGCAGGAGAACCUGACCCGGGCCUCUGGGCCUUGUGAGGCCGGAUGGUUCUGUGUGUCUGCAGCGUGGACUGCCCGCCCCUUCGACCUGGACAACUACACCAGCACCAAUUGCCUGUGCCCAGCCACGGCCACAGGGGGAAAGUGCCCUGCUGGCUCCUACUGCCCAGAGGGAAGCCCAGAGCCCAUGCCCUGCCCACCAGGCUCUUUCUGUGGCACCUCUGGUAAGGGCCUAUCGUGCUGUGGCUCAGGGUGUCGCUGGUGGGAGAACCAACAUGAGGGUGAACACGUAACCACCAUCCUUCCCUGUCCAGUGAGAAGCACUGCCUGCCUACCUCAGGGGGCUGUGCCUGGCAUGCCUCCUGGCAGGACUGUGCUUCAUAAACCAUCACUGUUGCUGUCACUCUGGGUGAAUGCAGGCCAGCCACCACAGAACAGCAAGGUGGGGAGGAGUGGCCAGGCCAGCAGGUCUGUGUGCACAGGGAGGCGUUCAGUGGCACCUCCCUCAUCCCUCUCUGUACUCCCCGUGUCUGAGUGCCUGCACUUCCCAAGCACCUGGUGCGUACAGCCCUGCUGGGCACUGAGCACCCAGGCAUGCACCAGGCUCCUCCUGCCCUGGGAGGCUCUCAGCUCUACAGCCCCUGAAGUCCAGACCUUAGGCUGA
This 1232-nucleotide long non-coding RNA is filed under the name Macaca mulatta (Rhesus monkey). Its description in RNAcentral is "lncRNA (ENSMMUG00000053472.1)". The record is from RNAcentral. Lineage: Eukaryota; Metazoa; Chordata; Mammalia; Primates; Cercopithecidae.